GCCGCCCAGCCCGGAGCAGGAAGGGGUAGGACCUGCCUUGUGGGUGGCUUCUGCGCACAGGCUCCUCUCCAGACACGGUUCUCCUGGUGCACAAUGACAUCUCACUGCCUCUGUCUUGGCCUGACACCACUGGUUCUGCUCUGCUGCCUGCCCCUGGCGCACCCAGACCCAUGCGGCCUGAGCAUCGUGCCCAAGGACCUGGCGGUAGCGUUUGGGGGUGACGUGGUUCUGAACUGCACCAGCACGUGCUCCAGUCACACCAGCCUGGGCUGGGAGACGUCGGUGCCGAAGGUGACGAAGGAGGGAACCGGCUGGAUGUCUCUGCACAUCUCCAACCUCACAGAGUGGGACCUGAAGCCCCUGUGCUUUGUCAGCUCCACGGACAUCACCGAAAAAGCCAGGCUCCACGUGUACCGAUUCUCACCCCCUGAGAUCCACCUGGGAGCCGAGAUGGUGGCCGGUCACCAGGAGCGAAUCACCUGCAACGUCUCCAGCCUUGUGUCCGGUUCCAUCCCCUCCGACAUCAACGUCACCCUGAGCAGCAGGGGCAGCACCCUUAGCGAAAGCCGUGGCAGCCCGGCCGUGGGGUACAGCUUCGUGGCACAGCCCACGCAGCACGGGCAGGAGAUCGUGUGCCAGGCCUGGCUCCGCGUGGGCCACCAGGUGCUGAGUGACAGCGCCAGAGCCACCCUGCACGUCUGGGCCCCGCCCCACAACGUGAAGGUCUCCGUGGAGCGGCUGCAGUUCGGGGUCGGCGCUAACUUCACGGUGUGGUGCAGCGCCAAGGGGAACCCCCCACCCAAGCUGCGCUGGGAGCUGCCUUCCAACGCCAGCGUGGAGCUGUCUGACCGCGGCCAGAUGGUAACCGUGCGCUCGGCUCAGCGUGCCCACAAUGGGACCUACCGGUGCCUAGCACAGAACAGUUACGGGGCCAGCUCGGGGCACAUCGAUGUCCUCAUCGAAGUCUCCACAGUUCCCCCAAGGUCCUGGACCGUGAUAGUCGCAGUGGUGCUGGGGGUGAUUGUGGUUCUUGGCGGCGUAGCCCUGGGAGUGUGGUGGCUUGUGAGAAAAUGCUUCAUGACAUCUUAGCUGCGGUCCAGGACUGCCCCCCGCCCGCCCGCAGUGGGGAGGGCAACUCAGGGAAGGGGGAAGAACUGGGCAGUGAUGGGCCUGAAUCUUUGGGUGAGGACAAGGAGGAGCCCAGAGAUGUCUGACCCUGAAGCCCUCACCCCAGGGGACUGGUUCCUGGGGCGGGUGGGGUCACGGCCCUUUCCCUGAUGUGCCCCGGCUGGUGGGCUGGGACCGAGCAGAGGAGCCGAGCUGGGCCGCAGCUCUCCAGGGUGUCUAGUCCUGGUGCUUGUGUGCAUGUGUGUGUGCGUGUGCCUGUGUGCGUGCACAUGAGUGUGAAUGUGAGUGUGCAUAUGUGUGCAUAUACAAUCCUUUCUUCGGUGCCCUGGGACUGUUACAUUUACAGUGAGUCCAGUCCAGACGCCCAGGUAACCCCAUGCUCCCCCCCACCCAGUGGCUCUCAUUGGUUCCACUUGGUUCUGAGGGUCUCAAAUAAACUGACUGCCUGGGCACCUUCUGCUCUGUGUGUGAGGCUCGUGCGCCCCCCCCUUCUCCGGGAGCAGCCCCCCGCGGGCGUCCAUGGAGAUGUUAGCCGUUGGCGAGGCAAAGCUUGGAGCCUGUAUCAGCUCUGGGCAUUAGUCAUUGUUAAUGCUACUUAGUGUGACCCUUCUGCCCCUCUGAGUUGGCAGCACAAGGGCCGGGUUCAGUAUCCAGGGGUUCCGUUUCAAUAACACCAUGCAAAACCGGCUAAAGCCCCCACCCAGUGACCUGGGACACUCACAUACCGCCCCCCGGGCGCCUCUAGGAGGCAAUACUUCCCCCCUCACAAGCACGGAGUCUGAGUGUAGCAAAAUUCCUUUAAUAAAGGAAGGAAACAAUGUGGCAUCCCAUUGUAGAAACACCACAAACAGGAUUAUAACACAAACCAUAAGCAAAAACCCACCCCCAGGUACGUUCGGCAAUGUCCUUUUCCCCUUAGGGUCUUAAGUCCAAUCACCCCAAAGUCCAACAACCCGAAAGUCUCUGCUCAGUGCCACCCCAGAGUUCAAAAGUUUAUCUGCAGAGUUUUACCCCACCCCCAGCCUGGGUGGAAAGGGGGGGGGGAUUCCACACAGAGUGUUAAGGGGCACCUUACGUGGGCCAGGGGGGCCAACUGCUCCACCUCUCGGUGGAGUUCUGCUGCAGCCUUCCCCACGACCAGCUGCACCACACCAGCCGUCCCUGCUGAGCUGCUCUAAUAUGCUGCAAACUGCUCUGCUCUGCCAGCCGCUUAGCGAUAGAUCUUCAGGCUCCCGCACUAGUUAGCACAGCACUCAGUCAUCUCAGCUCAGCUCUUUCAGUGAUUUCAGCUCUUAGUAGGGGAGCCCUGGUGCUGGGGCACCAUUGGCCCAACAUGAAGUCAGCUCAGCAGUCUCUAGAUGGACUCCUAAUGGAAUCAAAAUUAGCUCUACUCUUUACCAGUGGAGAAAGGAGGAUAUGCAAUUGAUGUUCCAGGCCCUCACCGGCAGGCAGGCAGGGAGAGGGAGAUUGAUUGUGUGUGGGUGGGUGGGUGCGCAUGUGCACGCACACAAACCAGUCCCCAACCUCUCUCAAUUCACUAGGUUUUGGAACCCAUGUCCCUUGUUUAGCAAGUGUCACUUAAGUUAGUCUCGUAGUUCCUCGUUCACAUAAUCAGGUGGCAACACUGUAUUUAUCCUGCCCCAAUAACAAAGAAAUUGAGGAUCCCAGAGCUGUCAAAAUAACCAUCCCAGGCUGCAUUGGGCUAUGCUGGGCGUGCCCAUGCAAAUAUCUGAGAAUUCACACUUUUUCUGAAUUUUUUUCCACACUUCCCAUAAUUCACCACCAGAUGCCAGGGUAGAGCUCAUCCUGACUGCUUGCAUCAGUAUGGCCCACGGGCGUUAGAGGGGCCCAGCGGUGGGACAUGGGAGGUUGCUGGUUUGAAUCCAGCCCCAGCUCAUAACAUGUUUGUGUCCCUGGCUUGGAACGAGCUGGGGGGGGUGUGUGUGGGCACAGCUCAAUUCUUAACAGGGCAGAAACCUCCUGACGUUGAUGGGCCUAAAUCAUUAAAAGCCUAGAUUAAACCCAAGCACCACGAGCCAGAUCCAGGCUCAGCCCCUGCACCUCUGAGCAGCCGCUGCUGUUUCUUCCGCUUUGGGCAGGGGUGGCACCCACUGGCACCGGUCUACGUGGCACACCGAGAAAGGACCUGCCUCUCAGUCGCCCAUGCACCUGGAGAGGGCAAGACCCUCCCCAAACCGAACAGCGAUGGGCUGGAAAUCACGGGGAGGGACCUUGGGGAGUCCUCGAGCCCGCGGUGCAGAGGGGGCAGGGCAGGGAUCCCGUUUGGAUACAAGGCUUGCACGGUAGGUGCGGAUGAGUCAGUGUGACCGAGGGAGGGAGGGCAACGAGGUGUAAGCAGACGUUCUAAGGCAGCUGAGCUGUAUUCCUGCCCACACGCCCAACCGAAGCUCAGAGUCGGGUGAAAAUGACCCCGUCUGGGCCUGAGCCGGCUCUGCUUCUGGCUGCUGGCUGGUGAGUCUGACCGCUCAGGCAGGGUGGGGGCAGGAGCUGUUUGCUUCUUGCAGAGCUCUGGAGUAAAUCCAAGUCUCUUCCUAGCUGGCCAGAUGAACACAGGGAGGUGGGUGAAUCUCUGGGCGGCUGGGCUCAGAGAAGGGUAAUGUACCGAAUGAGGCAGACUCACUAGUAAUAAUUCCCUGAUAGCAGCGGUGUCUGAGGACAGGGCCGGCUUUAGGAAGUGCGGGGCCCAAUUCGAACAUUUUCGGCGGGGCCCUGGCAGGGAUGAUGACUUAAAAAAAAAAGUGGAAAAAAAAGCCUUCCAUUUCUUCCAUGUGUUAUUUACUUUUCAUAACUAUAUAAAUAAUAAAAGUAUAAAUUAUGUA
Molecule: long non-coding RNA, 3968 nt
Organism: Gopherus evgoodei (Goodes thornscrub tortoise)
Lineage: Eukaryota; Metazoa; Chordata; Testudines; Testudinidae
Source: Ensembl